CCAUGUUAAUAUGAUACCUACUUAAUGAGGGUGUUGUGAGGCCUAAUUAAAGUCCUUUGAGACCCUCCAGUGAAAGGAGACACAGACAUGCAAAGAAUUUUUCCCCUCCAUCAUUGCUCAGUGUACUAACAUAUGAACCUCACCUCCACUUCUGACCUGCUGGCUUUGGAAGUACAGGGGUUCCACAGUUAAGCCUUUUUACUUGUUUCUCAGUUUCAAUUUCUGCAUUAUUUUCUAGUUUGCACAUUUAAAUGGGAGUAGAGAUGGAGACUUAUAACUGAAAUAUGAGCUGCAGCUAUCCUGGCCACAAAUUCUGCUCUGCUGUGAUGAUCCUGAGAAACCACAAAUACUAUUGAAGUCCUACUGGAGCAUGGAUCUUGCCAGUGGCUAGGAGAUCAUACUAAUCCAUGGCUUGAUCCCAGAACCAUGAGGGAAGGUUGGAGCCUGAGUCAAGCCACGACACAGGGUUCAAGCCCUAUUGCUUUGCGGUGUAGAUGCAGCUCCAGUUGACGUAGGUCCUGGAAGGCUGCCAAAAGUAUCGCACAAUCCCAUAGGCUGACUUCCUUUGUUCUCUCAAUUCCCAAGAAUCUCCAAUGGACUUCAAUGAAAACAGAAUUGAACCCCCUUGGCAUACAGCAGCAGCUCAGUGAGUCCACAUUAACCCUGCCAUUGUCUUCUGACCACCGAGUUGCAAACACACCAUCAGUGUGCCUUCUGGGCUUGCAAUGGCGACUGACCUGAACAAGCCUUUUGCAAAGCCCGCUGCUUCACAGUCAUGGGAGCACAGCCAGAUUUUGGUGAAUCUCUCGUGCAAGGCCAGCAAAACUGUGGACUUCAGAAAGAGUACCAGGAAUGACCACACAUCCCAGCAAAGAUACUGACAACACUCCCAAUUUAGCAGACCGGUAACCAAUGCAGGAUGUGGAUUAAGUUGCUCAAGAGCUAGCAUCGGAAAAACUGAGAACCAGAAAACAGACUUCUGGCAAGUCACCCACAUUGUGCCAAUUUUAUGAGGCAUUUUACUGGAUGUUGGGCACUGUGCCCAGCACAGAGCCAUCGGAGGUGCAUGAUUACCUGGUCAGCCAGGAUGGUGCUCUGUUGGCUUCAGAAUCCAGCAUGGACACUAAUGGGAGCCAGCAACAAGUGAGGACCAUGAAAUCACUAGGUUGCUGAAACUGGUUUCAGAGCAGGCUUUGGAACAGGGGCAGCAGCAGCACAUUCUGGGUCCAUACUCAGAGAAGCUGUUUGAUGCCCUGCUGGAAGAACAGCCCCCUGCAGAGCCUGCAGCAGACAUAAAGUCGCCCCUGAGCCCAGUAAGUUUAUGGAUCCAUUAUAAACUUUGAUAAUACUGUAAUGGUGGUGAUUUCCACUCUACGAACCAAUGCAAAAGUGGUGACGCUCCAGCCAGCAGUAUGUAUUUGCUGAUGGUGGAUUGUAUCCUAGCGCCUUGGUGUCCCUCCUUCCCACCCACCAUAUGUUGUUCAAAAUGGGGACUGGCAAAUACAAACAGUAAAUAAGCGCUUUAAAGUGAAUUUUUACUGGAAAGAUGCAGAUUUUUGCUAGAGCCAUUCCUGUUUCUUGGAAAUAACAACCUUCCAUUGCCAUGCCUUUAAGUUUGCUGUUCUGCAACCACUCCAUGGUCUGUCAACAACCUGGAAACAGUGAACUCGAGGGGUGGGGGGGAGAGAAAUGUGUUCCAUUUACAAAUCUAGUCCAUUUUGGCAGUCCAUAGGUGACAAGAUAAUUUGUCCCAAGUAUGAUGGGUAUUUUAAGUUUUUAAUCCAGAAACGUGCCGGAUGUGAAGCUCCGCGUGAUUGCAUGCAGCCAGGACAAGACUAACACGGCUGCUACUCUGAAAAAUAACCUUAUGUGUCACAUCCUGUUCCUGGCCCCUCGACUUCUACUGCAUGCUGUACCUCCACAGCUUGUCCAUAGUAGUACAGGCCUGGGCCAAUGUACCUUCAU
Dermochelys coriacea (leatherback sea turtle) is the source of this 1965-nucleotide long non-coding RNA. RefSeq lists it as uncharacterized. NCBI's taxonomy places the organism in Eukaryota, Metazoa, Chordata, Testudines, Dermochelyidae. The transcript is spliced from 4 exons. The record is from RefSeq and is a predicted model, not a curated record.